This 76-nucleotide transfer RNA is filed under the name Hyalomma marginatum. Its description in RNAcentral is "tRNA-Val(tac)". It matches the Rfam family "tRNA". From Rfam's summary of the family: Transfer RNA (tRNA) molecules are approximately 80 nucleotides in length. Their secondary structure includes four short double-helical elements and three loops (D, anti-codon, and T loops). Further hydrogen bonds mediate the characteristic L-shaped molecular structure. tRNAs have two regions of fundamental functional importance: the anti-codon, which is responsible for specific mRNA codon recognition, and the 3' end, to which the tRNAs corresponding amino acid is attached (by aminoacyl-tRNA synthetases). tRNAs cope with the degeneracy of the genetic code in two manners: having more than one tRNA (with a specific anti-codon) for a particular amino acid; and 'wobble' base-pairing, i.e. permitting non-standard base-pairing at the 3rd anti-codon position. RNAcentral also lists the same sequence under 3 other names. The record is from RNAcentral. Lineage: Eukaryota; Metazoa; Arthropoda; Arachnida; Ixodida; Ixodidae.
GGGCGAUUAGCUCAGUUGGUAGAGCAUCUCGUUUACACCGAGGAGGUCGGCAGUUCGACCCUGUCAUCGCCCACCA